This 253-nucleotide ribosomal RNA is filed under the name uncultured bacterium. RNAcentral describes it as "partial 16S ribosomal RNA". It matches the Rfam family "Bacterial small subunit ribosomal RNA", at positions 524 to 776 of the family's 1533-position model. The record is from RNAcentral.
UACGUAGGGGGCAAGCGUUGUCCGGAUUUAUUGGGCGUAAAGAGCGUGUAGGCGGCCAGACAGGUCCGUUGUGAAAACUCGAGGCUCAACCUCGAGAUGUCGAUGGAAACCGUCUGGCUAGAGUCCGGAAGAGGAGUGUGGAAUUCCUGGUGUAGCGGUGAAAUGCGCAGAUAUCAGGAAGAACACCUAUGGCGAAGGCAGCACUCUGGGACGGUACUGACGCUGAGACGCGAAAGCUAGGGGAGCGAACAGG